RNAcentral lists this transfer RNA (73 nucleotides) under Camelus ferus (Wild Bactrian camel). It matches the Rfam family "tRNA". From Rfam's summary of the family: Transfer RNA (tRNA) molecules are approximately 80 nucleotides in length. Their secondary structure includes four short double-helical elements and three loops (D, anti-codon, and T loops). Further hydrogen bonds mediate the characteristic L-shaped molecular structure. tRNAs have two regions of fundamental functional importance: the anti-codon, which is responsible for specific mRNA codon recognition, and the 3' end, to which the tRNAs corresponding amino acid is attached (by aminoacyl-tRNA synthetases). tRNAs cope with the degeneracy of the genetic code in two manners: having more than one tRNA (with a specific anti-codon) for a particular amino acid; and 'wobble' base-pairing, i.e. permitting non-standard base-pairing at the 3rd anti-codon position. The record is from Rfam by way of RNAcentral. Lineage: Eukaryota; Metazoa; Chordata; Mammalia; Artiodactyla; Camelidae.
GAGGGCAUAGCUCAAGUGGUAGAGCGCAUGCUUAGCAUGCAUGAGGUCCUGGGUUCAAUCCCCAGUACCUCCA